CCUACGGGUGGCUGCAGUGGGGAAUAUUGGACAAUGGGCGAAAGCCUGAUCCAGCCAUGCCGCGUGUGUGAAGAAGGCCUUCGGGUUGUAAAGCACUUUCAGUUGGGAAGAAAGCCUUGGGGCUAAUACCCUCCUGGAUGGACAUCACCCACAGAAUAAGCACCGGCUAACUCCGUGCCAGCAGCCGCGGUAAUACGGAGGGUGCGAGCGUUAAUCGGAAUUACUGGGCGUAAAGCGCGCGUAGGCGGUCUGAUAAGCCGGUUGUGAAAGCCCCGGGCUCAACCUGGGAACGGCAUCCGGAACUGUCAGGCUAGAGUGCAGGAGAGGAAGGUAGAAUUCCCGGUGUAGCGGUGAAAUGCGUAGAGAUCGGGAGGAAUACCAGUGGCGAAGGCGGCCUUCUGGACUGACACUGACGCUGAGGUGCGAAAGCGUGGGUAGCAAACAGGAUUAGAUACCCGGGUAGUC
RNAcentral lists this ribosomal RNA (465 nucleotides) under Vreelandella stevensii. Its description in RNAcentral is "partial 16S ribosomal RNA". It matches the Rfam family "Bacterial small subunit ribosomal RNA", at positions 338 to 795 of the family's 1533-position model. The record is from RNAcentral. Lineage: Bacteria; Pseudomonadati; Pseudomonadota; Gammaproteobacteria; Oceanospirillales; Halomonadaceae.